UCCAGAUUGAUUGCAGUUCAUUUUUCUUUUUCUUUUUCUUUUUCUUUUUUGGUUAGAUUUUCAAUCUCUUGAGAGAAAUCAUUCUAUAAUGACUUCUACGUAAUUUUGAUUCGAAGCCAAAUGUGACACAGUGUUCAGUCCUCACAAAAGAUAUUAAUAAAGCAAUUUUGAUUAGUGAUGCAAUGGAGACAGGAACUAUACAGAUCAACUCAGCACCAGCUCAUGGACCAGAUCAUUUUCCUUUCCAGGGUCUGGAGGAUAGCGGAAUCGAAUCUCAAGGAAUAACGCAUAGCAUUACUAUGACGACAAAAAUCAAAGCCACUGUGAUAAACUAGCCAACUUCUUUAUACACAAUGCAUUGAUUUGGUAAUUGAUUAGUCCAUUCUUACAAAAUGUCAUCAUUGCCGUUAACAUCUUUAAUAGCUGAUACUAACGGAAGACGGUUCUGUCAGCAUGACAACGCCUUUACUGUUCAACUGCCACGGAAAUUAGUUACAAUAGAAAAUUUUCAGCCAUAGAAGAAAAUCGUUGUUAUAUUUUUUUGCGAGGGGCAAUUUAUUCGUGACAAAAUUGUCUGUUACAUAAAAAAAUUCA
Molecule: long non-coding RNA, 594 nt
Organism: Olea europaea var. sylvestris
Lineage: Eukaryota; Viridiplantae; Streptophyta; Magnoliopsida; Lamiales; Oleaceae
Exons: 3
Source: RefSeq, a predicted model, not a curated record